AGGCGGACGCGCCCGGGCUGCAGAGUGCUGAGCCCGGCCUUGGGGUCCGCUUCUCCCCAACAGCUGCUCCCUGCCCUCUCUGAGGUCUCGCCGACUGCAGCCCUUUUGUGUCAGAACGAAUUUUCUGCACAGUCAUUCCGCUCGCUGACCAGCAACAUGUUAUCCCUGCGGCCUGCCUGAUGAUUUGAGGAAAAGAAUUGAGAGUCCUACUGAAUCUCCAUACAAGUGACAGUCUCACAAGGCAAGGUAAGGUUUUGGGGCGCAACAUCUAUCCUGUGAGGAUUUUCAAGAGAAAAGGAUAGAAGAUUUCCAGUAAAAAGCAUGGACAGAGAUUUCAAGGCAAAAGAAGAAAGAGAAGUCUUAGCCAGAGGAAAAGACACCUGAUGAUAACAAGGCAUUUCAGCCAUGAACCUUCCUAUGGGUGAAGAAAACAUUCCUCUUUGGUCUCUGCUAUUUCUGGCACCAACAUACAGUUAGUGAGACACCUCACUUGCUUCUGAACCUGCAAAUGCGAAAAAGCCAGCAAAAGUGGCAAGGAUCAAACUCAGGUCCUCGCGCUUGGGAGGCAGGCGGCGGCACCGCUGAGCUAAAUCCCCGGCCCCCAUACUACUCUUUUCUGUGCCUGUUUUGAAAACAGUACAACUUGGAAAGGACCUUUCCACGACCUGCACCUGCCAAGCUUGUGUUGACCUGCGUGGAGCUGGGAGCGAUAGAUGAGCUGUACGCGCGGCUCGGCCAACAGGAAAUACGUCAUCAGACUGCGCAGCAGGCUCGGCCGCGGGCGCUCUGGAAGCUGCCACAAGGUGAGCAGCUGUGCUCUGCCACCCCCAUCUGCCAUGAUGUUUUGUCCUUGCCAAAGGUUAAAAGCAAUGGAUACAGCUGACCAUGGGCCUGAAACUGUAAGCCAAAAUAAUGUUUUGGGGACAAGGUCUCGCUAUGUAGUCACAUCAGCCUGGCCUUGAAUUCAUUUUGUGGCUCUCACUGACCUCACAGCCAUCCUCCCAGCUCAGCCUUCUGAGUGCUGGAAUUAUAGGUGCAUGCAGCCAAAAUAAACCUACUGAGUUGAUUUCUCAAGUAUUUUGUCACAGCAACAGAAAGCUGCCUAACAACUUCACAUCUCUCAAAGGUCUGUUCCUGGAGUCCAGAAGGUAGAUCUUCAAAUGUUGGCCACGGGAGAGUUAAUUACAACAACUGCUUUCGAAAACAGUGUUCUGGUACCUACAAAACAGUAGGCAUCUUACACACCAUGCAUUCUGCUCUGCAGUGAAUUGCAAGCACAGUGCAUCAGAAUCUAUGCACAUAAAAGUGUAUAGCAGUGAUGGCAAAAAUUUUAGAGCUUUCUAUGAUUAACAGACAAGCUGGGUGUGAUGGUGCACACCUAUUAUUCCAGCACUCUCAAGGUUGAGGCUGGAGGAUCGCCGAGAGUUUGAGGCCAGCUUGAACUACACAGGAAGACCCUGUCUCAGAAAACAAAACAAAACAAGUCCAAAAGGUGAUACCUGUGAAGAGGAAAUAGAGACUCUUUCUUGGAAAGAUUUAUUGAGUUUGUCUUGGUAGGAGUCAGUGACAUAAAUGUAUGGUUAUUUUACUUUUGUUCUUGCAUUUUAUAUCUUUUUUAAAAUUUUUAUAAUAACUGGGAAAAUAUGAUAACAUUUUAUCCUUCUGGGAAAUGUGUGGGUAGAAGAAAAAGAGACAGUCCUGCUCACCAACCCACAUCUUGUUGAGCCCAUCUUUGGUAGAGUAGAUUUUUAUAUUCAGCAAUGUGAAAACUGAAAGUGAGGGUUUUGUAUGAAUAACUUUAUGCCCAAGAGGACAUUUGAGUGCUGAGCUGAGAUGGAGUCUUGUGCUUUACUUUAGGUGAUUUUUUUUUGACUACUUAAAUGCAAAUUCUCUAAAACUAACUAUAAUCCUAUUGCACUGUGAACACAGUAAGAAAAAAAAUUUGUAUUAUUUUCCCCGUAUGCUUAACUAGGUUUGGCUAUGAUGGCUUAUACUGAAGUUAUUCAGGGUUCAGCUGGGAAAAACUACAUUUCCACUGCUGUUUUUUUCUUUAUACCCAUGCCUCCAACUGCAUGGUGCAUAUAUAAUUUAUUAGUUUAUAAUGGAUUCCUGAGAGAAAGAAUAUUUCCAGUGUUUGAUAUCAAUCUCAAAAGUCAAUAUGCUUUUUUUGUAAUUAUUUAAUUCUCAAAAAAAGAAUGGUCAGGGCCUGGGAUUUAGCUCAGUGGUUCUGCCGCCUGCCUGGAAAGCGCAAGGACCCGAGUUCAAUCCCUGGUACCAAAAAAAUUAAAAAAAAAAAAUAAUGAUCAUCUCCUGGCUGCUGUGCCCUCCUACCCAGUGUUCAUUGAAUUUAUGAAAUUAUGGGUUAUUCUGUUGUCUUAGUUAUUUUCUCACUGCUGAGACAAUACCCAACAUCCACAACUUGGAGAAGGAGCGGUUUAUUUUGGCUCACACUUAGUCGAGGAUUCAAUCCAUUCAAUCCAUAGUUAGCUGGCUAUAAGCAGGGCAGAGAGACAUGGCAGAGGAGAACUGCUCAUGGCAUGGCAGGUGGGAAUCAGAGCUUGAGGAGGGAGGAAGCUAACCCUUCCAGGGCCUCGCCCACAGUGACCUACAUCCUUCAGUCAAGCUUCACUUCCUAACAUCGCAUUUAGCUAUAAACUCAUCAGUGGACUCAUCCUCUGCUGAGUAUCACAGCCCCAGGACCCAGUCACCUCCCCAAAGCCCCAUCAGUGAGGGCAUGAGCUUUGGGAGGCCAUCUAGAUAUAAUCCAUAGAAUUCCACCCCUGGACCCCUCAAGACUCUUGUGCAUCCCUUUGUGCAAAAUGCGUUCGGUUCAGCUCUAAGAUUAGCCAAACUCCUGACAGUUUCAGCAUUGCUUAAAAGUCUAAAUCCAAGUUUCCUCUAAGAUCUAGGCAGACUCAUAGCUGUGAGCUCCUGUAAAAAGGACAAGAAAGCGAAACACUUCCAACAUAAAAAGGCACAGGAUAAAGAGUCCCAUUCCAAAAGGGAGAAACAGGGAGCUGGAAAGGACUGGGACCAAAGCAAGACUGAAACCCAGCCGGAGAAACAUUAACUCCUUUAGCUCCAAGUCCAGUAACCUGGGCCAACUUCCCUGAGCCAUGAAUUCCAGUGGGCUUGGCUGACGUCCCAGCCCUGUCACUGCAGGUGGUUGCAGUCCUCAUGGUCUCUCUUUUGGGCUGGCUUUGCUCCUUUGCUCAUUCCUCAGGCGAGCCACAUUCCUGGCUUCUCCAAAAUCCUGGGUUCUCCACUGCACCUUUGGCUUCACACUCACAGCUUCACACCCUGCCCUCCUAGGGGCACACUGCCUGGCCUCCCUGGCCUUCUUCGGAGAUCUGAGUGGAAGCCUCACUGAACCCACAAUUCUUGCAUUCUGCAUGCAUCUAAAACCAGCACCAAGUGGAUGAGCCCAAGGUCUGCUGCCAGCUGGGGCAGUUGCUGAGCCCUUUUGCAACUUGCCAGUGGUUACAGAGGCCUCUGAGGGCCUGGAUGGCCCGGGCCCGGAUGGCCCGGGCCCCUGAACUGAAUGGGGGAAAUCAAAGUUACAGGGAUUCCUUCUCCAACAGAGUGCCUUGGGUCUCUCCUCUUCAGCCGGAGUCUAUAGCCUGCAAAGGGUGGGGCUUUCUGGUCCCUCAAAUCCCCUCAAGGCAUUUUCCUAUUGUCCUGUUGUAAAUUACUUGGGUUCUUUUGAAUGCUAAUCAUUUUAGCAACUAAGCUCUCCUCUGCUUAAACUUUGCAGGGCCAAACAUAAAACUGUUUAAAUCAUAGGGCCAGGGAUUUAGCUCAGUGGUUCCAGCACCUGCCUUGCAAGCGCAAGGUCCUGAGUUCGAUUUUUUGCGGGGGAGGGGACCGGGGAUCGAACUCAGGACCUUGUACUUGCCAGGGAGGUGCCAGAACCACUGAGCUAAAUCCCCAGCCCCCCAAAAACUUUUAAGUCAUUCAGCUAUGACUUUUGCUCUUGAUUCUCAAGGUAGAGCUGACUAAAAGCCCCUGACAGUCCAGUUCCUCUGUCUGAAGGCUGGAGUGCUGUGAAAUUUCCUCUGCCAGGUUAGUUAGUCUGCUACCUUUAAUCUCAGCCUCCUGAAAAGUCUCAGCACAUGGGUAAAAUGUAGACAGAUUUUCUGCUGGAGCAAAACAUUUAUCCUUUGGAGCCCAGCUACCAGGGGAGUCCUUCCUAACUGAAACCUCUUGAGCCUGGUCUUUAUCAGCUACAUCACUGUCCACAGUCUGGUCCAAUCAGAAUCUCCCACGAAGCUUGACUUAAAACAUUUGAGGGCUGAAGUUUUGGAAUAGGAUAGGGAAGACACAGGAGUCUGGAUUAGAAAUCACUUGUUUAGUGAGACUUUUACUUUUUCUUUACUUUGUUUUGUUUUAUAAUGCUGGUGAUUGAAUACUAGGCCUUGCACAUGGUAAGCAGACAUUUUAUUGCUGAGCUCUACCUACAGCUCCAGGAGAGAUUUAAAAUGGAUGGAGUCAGGUGUGGUGGUACACACAUAUGAUGCCAGCACUUGGGAGGUUGAAGCAGAAGGAUUUUGAGUUUGAACCAGGCUGGACUGCAUAGUUUGAAGCCAGCCUGAGCUACAUAGCAGUACCUUGUCUCACCCGCCGCCCCCCAAGCAAACAAAAAAUGAAACAGCCAAGCAUGGUUGCACAAACUUGUAAUCCCAGGAUUUGAGAGGCUGCUGCAAGAAGAUUGCUUUGAGUUUGAGGUCAGCCUGGACUACACACAGAGACCAUGUCUCCAAAACAAAACAAAACAAAGAAUGAAACAAUAAGACCAACAGAGGCUCAAAAGUCGGCCUAAUAUAAGGUUGGGGAUUGGAAACUGUAGGUGGUCAACCUUUAGGGUUAGACAGAGAAGAAUUAGGAAUUGAGUUAUGGUCUUCUCACCUUUUUUUUUUUUGGUACUGGGGAUCGAACUUGGGUCCUUGUGCUUGCGCAGCAGGCGGCGAAACCACUGAGCUAAAUCCCCGGCCAGGUCUUCUCACUUUUGUGGCCAAUCUCCUACUGAGGAUAACAUGAGUAUCCUCUAAAUUGGGUAAUUAAUGAAUCUUCUGCCAACAGAUAUUUAUUUUUAUUUCUUUUCUUUUUCUUUUUUCUUUUUGGUACCAGGAAUAGAACUCAGGGACUCUUGCCAGGCAGCAUUGUCCAGCUGAGCUACAUGUCUGGCACUACUUAUUUCUAUUUCAUGUAAAUUUUGUUCAUAAAAACCAGAGAAACUUUGUGUGCUGUUUUGCAUCCAGAGCUGUGAGCCAAGAUGGCCUCCUUGUUAACUUUUGACCACCCAGGUUCCCACUAUCUGGAGAAAAUGGUGGUGCUGAAUCUGGAAGGUUGAGAAGCAGAAUCUUGGCAGGAAGGAAAUGAGAUUUAACACAGUUUAAACUCAGACCAAUGACAAGUGAUGGUGGUGGCUGGGAGGUUAGGAGAGUGGGUAACAAAGAAAUAUAUAUAUAUUUUUUUGGUUGGGGAUUAAACCCAGGACUUUGCACAUGCUAGGCAAGUACCCUUCCACUGAACUAAAUCCCAGCCCUUUACCUCUUUUUAAUUAUCAGCAAUUCAUUGUGGAUGAUGUACAUGUUUUCUUCUUUUGUUUGUUUUUUGUUUUGUUUUGUUUUGAGACAGGGUCUCUUUCUGUAAUUCAGGCUGGCCUUGAACUCAUCAUGUAGCCCAGGAUGACUUCUAACUCCUCCUGCCCCAGCCUAUAGAGUGCUGGGAUUACAGGGAUACAUUACCCCACCCAGCAAUACAUUUUACAAAUAUAAAGUAAUGCACAGAAAAGAUCUCACUCUGUGUGUAUAAUGUGUAAUAUAUAUGUGGAGGGCAGUAAUGCACAUCUGUAAUUCCUGCAUUCACGAGGCUGAGGCAGGAAGCUCACCAUGAGUUAAUGGCCAACCUGAGCUACAUAAUGAGUUCAAAGCCAGUGUGGAGUAUGUAGUGAGAUCCUGUCCCAAAAAAACCCAAAAUGAAACAAAAGUAUAAUAUAUUGAUCUCUUCUGGUAUUUAAAAAUCUCUCAUCUUGAUUUGAUUUUGAUCCAUCUAAUCGUGAAUCUAGUUUUUUGCUCAUAUAAUGCUUUGUAUUUUUAUCAUGGUAAAAUACACAUAAGAUAAAAUCUAUUGUAACCAUUUUUAGUAUUCAAUGCAGUGGUAUUAAAUGUAUCCACAUUAUUGUGCAACUGUUAUAAGUGUCCAUCUCCAGAACUCUUUCGUCUUGCAAAACUGGAACUCUGUUCCCAGUAAACAAUAAAUCGCCCACCCUCUGGCACCCCCCAGUCUACUUUCUUUCUUUCUUUUUUGGUACCAGGGAUCGAACUCAGGACUUUGCGCUUGAGAGGCAGGCGCUGGAAUCACUGAGCUAACCCCCCCCCAGUCUACUUUCAAUCUCUAUGAUGUUUGAUUGCUUUCCAUACCUCACUGAGUCAUUCAGUAUUUGCCCUUUUCUAAGUAGCUUUGUUCACUUAGAACAAUGGCAGGAUUCAUCCAUUUUGUAUCAUGUCAGAAUUUCUUUCCUUUUUAAGAUUGAACACUAUUAAGUUUAUUCAUCUCUCCAUGAACACUUUGGGUGGCUUCUACCUUUGCCUUUUGUGAUUAGUGCUUCUGGGAAUGUGAGUGUGCAAAUAUCUUCACUUCUGUGGAUUCGGAUUCGGGUCCCUCAGGUAUACAGCCAGCAGGGAAAGUGCUGAUGCUCAUGGUGUUCAUUGUUCAGGUGUUAAUUUAUAAAGGAGAUGGGGUGAUGAUGUGGGCAUUCUGAUGUCAUGGAAACCAGAUUUUUAUUACUUAACGUUUUCCCAGAGAAGGGAACAUGCCACACCACCGUGUACUGUGCCACAUGACAUUGAGUGAGGAACAGCAGGUUUUGGUCAGGAGGCAGAACACAGGCGUGAGUUGAAUACGGUAUCCAGGCCAAAGCCUUUUGGAAUCCUUGGGCAAUCCAGGGAACAGCAAAGGCGAUCAGGGAUUGGCUGGUUUAAAUAACCCUGGCCAGUUGGAGGGUGGAGUGUGUUCUCUAGUGGCUCCAUACUUGGCCUGGGACAAUUGAGAGCAGAGUCCUGUGAAAGUGAAGGAGGAGUUGAGUGUGGCUGUGGACUGGGGCUAGUCAGUCUGCAGUGUGCUCACAGGCAUGUAGUUAUCUUCAGAGAUUAGCCAGCCUUGGGUAAGGCCAGUUCUCACUGGGUUUAUGAGGCCCUCAGUAUCAACACACCAAGAAAAAGGAAAAUAAGAAAUAUAGUUAAUAUAACUCACCUUGAGGUAAAUGUUUGUCAAGGAGACCUAUGCAGGAUCUAAGGAAAUCUAGAACCUGUGGUAUUUUUUAAGAAAAGUUUUUGGAGGAACAGCAUGUUUUCCAUAGUGGCUCUUCCAGUUUACAUUCCCACUAACAUUGCAUAAGAUCUGCAUUUUCUCCAUAUCUUCUAUAAUCUUUUUAUGCCUAGUGUUCCAUUUUCACAAUACUGAUAACAAUGGAACAUAAUAAAAUUUUUCUCUUCAAACUCUUGUUCUUUGAAUUUUUCUAAGUAACAUAAAUUUCAUGCAAAAGAUUAAAAAAAAUGCAAUCUUUAGCAUAAAGGUGUUAACACUUAUGUUGUUUUUUAUUGUGUGUGUGUGUUACACAGUAGCCUUCCUAAUAUAGAAAUUCUGAACUCUGAAAAAAGUUUUACUUGAAGUGGUAGAGGAAAAAGCAAGACUUUAUGACCGGUUGGCUCAGUGAAGUCCGUACUUCAAAAAGGCCUGGAUGAGAGGGGGAGGUUUUGUAUUGUAGUUUUAAGUUGGGAAGGGGCUAGGGGUGAGUGAAGCAGAAUUUUACAGAGGCAGAAGUUUUGAGCAGAUAAGCAGGUGUCACAAUUAACUUCACAAUUCACAAUUGCUAGAGGCUUUCUUUAGGAACAGGUUCACACAGCAUAACAGUUUAGGGCUAAUGUGACAGGAUGCACGUUGUGAAGCUAGGCUAACAGGACAUAUAAAAUGACUUCAGGGCUCACAGGAGUAACACGCAUUGUGAAGCUAGGCUAACAGGAUACAUAAAAUAGGACAACAGGAUUUUAGGGCUAACACAAAGAACAUACACUGGGAAGGGUAAGGUCCUGAACUCAAUCCCUGGUACCACAAAAAGAAAGAGAGAGAGAGAGAGAGAGAAAGAGAAAGAGAGAAAGAACAUUGUCAAAUGAGGCAUGAGGCUAACUGAAUUUAUAUUACAGGACUUUAGGACUCACAGAAAGAAUGCACAUUGUGAGCACUAAAGCUAACAGGAUAUAUAAAUAUUUUGGGGUGGCUCACACUGUGACGAUAUUUCAGUAUAAAGCAUCACCUGUUGGGAGGGGUUGUGGGUCCACUUGUUUCCGGAGAAGCAGGAGCAAAUAAGAGCCUGAGUGUUUUAAGGCCUAAGGGUUUAAAAAUUUCUGUAUUACUGAUGGGUGUGGAUUGAUAUUUCAUGGUGCUUUUGAUUUUGAUUCCCAUAAUAGUUAAUGACAUGGAGCACUUUUCAUGCACCUGUUUUCUAUUUUCUCCGUAUACCUUGUCUUCUGUGGAGCCCUCUCCAGUCAUUUGCCCAUUUUAGGAGCAGGCUGUCGGUUUGGUACUGGUGCUUGGAGACCUGGGUCUGCCCAACACCCACAGGGCUGACCUGUGGCUCCUGAGUCCCAGCCAUUGCCCAUCAGAGCUGCCAAAUCGAGGGACCAUGGGUACUGGCAGCACUGCCACGAGCUGUGCAGCAGGAGCUUUGAGUUGUGGGAGGUCAGUAUACGUGUGUAUUUACUCAUCUGGUGCAAACGUGGCCCCAUUACAGGGUAUGUGAUCUGAAAGUAUUUUCUCCCAAUGGAAGGGUCGCCUCUUCACUGUUUUGAUUGUGUCUUUAGGUGUGCAGGAAAUUUUAAUGUUGCUGCACUUCCAUUCCUUCUUUAGCUUUACUCAUUAUUCAAGAAAUACUUUCUACAUUUAAUGUUGCAAAGUAGAGCUUUUCCUCCUUAGAGUUUUAGUGUUAGCUCUUUUUAUUUAUUUUUUGAGUACUGGGAUUAAACCUAGAGUCUUCACACUGAGUUACAUUCCCAUCUUGUUUUUAUUUUUAUUUAUUUUCUUUGGUACCAGGGAUUGAGCUCAGGUCCUUGUGCUUGUGGGGCAGGUGGUGGAUUUUUUUUGUUUUAUUUUGGGAUGGGGUUGGACCGAGUUGUUAAAUUCUCCAGACUAGGCUCAAACUUGUGAUGUGCUUGCCUCAGCCUCCCUUGGUGCUGGGUUUAAAAGCUUGCAGCACCGUGCCAGGCUUAAGUUCGUUUUUCUAUGUGAUGUAACAAAAGCUCUGGUGGGGGUCAGGGGUGGGGGAGGAAGAGGUAGGACAGAAGAAAUAAAAGAUACUGGAAAGGAGACCAGGAAAUCAAAACUACAGAAAUGUGCCUUUAAGAAGACUACAACUUGUAGGAACCAGUGGAUGUUGCCCACAGUCCAUGUCAGCAUUCCUUUGGUUAAACUGAAACUCCUUCUCCGUCAGACCCAUCAUGCCCCAAAUCCCUCACAAACACUAAAGUCCAAAAAUUGGCUCAGUUGGAAAGCAAGGAUCAGGAGCCUGAUCCCAAGAUAAAGGAGCAGGUUGAGCAAACCCAGAGAAUAUUUAAGUUACCUAUUCAGGGGUUACCUAGAGAAUGGGCUGAGACCCUUCUUGGGGGUGGUCACUUUUGCGUAGGCUUUUUUAUCCCUGAAUGUGUCUCAUAUCUCUGAUGCCUGCACUCUGCUCUUGGGUGCACCCUAAAUCUCUAAUGAACACUUCCUGAGCGCUCUUGCUGAUGCAUCCUAAAGCCCCCCACCCCCAGGGUUCUGCAAACCUGCUACAACAGAGGGGGUUAAAUUAGUUCUUUCUUUGUUUCUUUCCUUUUAAGUUUUUUGAGACAGUGUCUAACUGUGUGGUCCGGGCUGGCCUUGAACUCAUGAAGUUCCUCCAGCCUCAGCCUCCCAAGUGCUAGGAUUAGAGGUGUACACCACCACUCCCAGUGGUUAAAUUCCUUCUUUCAGGGGACCCUCAGACCCAAUCUUUAAGGCCUGAGGUCAUUGUUCUUUUGCUUUGGUUUUGUGGUACUGGGGAUUGAGAUGCUCUUUUUAAUUUUUUAAAAUUUUAAUAUAUUAGCUAUAUCCCCAGCCCUUUUAUAUUUAAAUUUGAGUCAGGAUCCCACUAAACUGCCCAGGCUGGCCCAGAACUUGCUAUCUUUCUGCACCAGUCUCCUGAGUAACGUGGAUUGUAGGCAUACACCAACCAUUGCUCCCAGUUCUAACUUCAUUAUUUUCAUGUGGAUAUCUGAUUUUCCAACGCCAUAUGUGGAAAAGAGAUUCCUUUGUCCGUUAUUGGUUUUGGCACUUUUGUUGAAACCCUUGGCCCAUGUGCAGUGGUUUGUGUUUGUGCCCUCUGUUAUCUUCCACUGGUGCAGGUACUUUGCUCUUUUGUGCAUGGUAGGGGGGCAGGAUCUUGUGCUUCACUUCCUAGGCAAGUGCUGCUCCACAGAAAUGCAUCACCAGUGUCCAGGGGUGGACUCCACUGCCAGGGAGGGACCCAGCAUUUCUCUUUCUAAGCCUGCCGCAGGAAUACCAGUGCCAGAGUGGGAAGCCUUACAUGUUGUGUGUUUAGUUAAGCAAUUCCCAAAGGUAGGAAAGACCAACUAGUGGAGAGCUGCUCAGGUACAGGUUGGGGAAAUCCAACAGACCAAAUCCUUGCCAAUGCCUGUGCAGCCUUGCACAUUUGUCUUUCAAGACCUUUUGCCCUUAUCACCUGCUGUGAAUUCUUGAUGUGUGAGUGUCUUCAUUAUUGAAGUAUAUUCCUAAUGUAGUCUGUUCACCUGUCUUGGUUGCUAUGUACUUUUUUUUUUUUUUUUUUUGGUACCGGGGAUUGAACUCCGGUCCUUGUGCUUGCGAGGCAGGCGCCAGAACCACUGAGCUAAAUCCCUGGCCCUGGUUGCUAUGUACUUUUGCCAGACAUACAUCUUGAAAAUUUUUUUCUGUACCAUAUACUUGUUGUUGUUUUUUUAACCAUUUACUUGUUUGCUUAUUUGGUACAGGUAAUAAAUUAAAAAGGCAUAAAGUUAAAACAAAAAUCACAGAGAUGAAACAGUGAACAGUGGAAAGUCCCUUCUCACUUCGUCCUCUAGCUUUCUUCUCUGAUGUCAGGACCUUUUUGAUCAGUUCUUCCUUUUUUUCCUCUGUUAUUUCUUCUUUUUCUUUUUAAGACAGGGUCUCACAGUGUAGCCCAGGCUGGCCUCGAAGUCACAGUGAUCCUCCUGCCUCAGCCUCCUUAGUGCUGGGACUAUGGGUGUGUGCCACCACGCCCGGCUUCCUCUGUUAUUUCUUAUUUCAGAGCAGUUCUAAAUUUACAAAAAUAUUUCAAAUAUUGGAUAUACCUCACACAAAAUUAAACCUACAAUGACAAUUUAUAUUAGUCUCGUAUAUUUAUUACAAGUAAUGCCCCAAUAUUGGUACAUUAUUAUUAACUAAAGUUCGUUCUUGAUUCAGAUAUAUUCAUUUUCUCUAAAAUUUUCUAUUCUGGAAUGUAAUCCAGGGUAUCACAUUACAUUUAGUUACCCCCAUGUCUCAUGUCUCAUGUCUCAGUUCACCCUGGCUAUGCCAAUUGCUCAGGCUUGCUUUAUUUAUUUAUUUAUUUAUUUAUUUAUUUUUGGUACCGGGGAACGAAGUCAGGAUCUUGAGCUUGCGAGGCAGGCAGUGGAACCACUGAGCUAAAUCCCUGGCCCUCAGGCUUUAUUUUUUAUGCUUUUAUCCAUUGUAAUUACUGGUUAGAUGAUUGUAAAAAUCUCUUUCACUAAGGAUUUUAAAACACUCCUCUGUAAUUCAGAUAGCAGAAAAUUCAUGCUUUUUACAUUCUUUUUCUGUGGUGCUAGGUAUUAAACUCUAACCUGGCAAGCUCUACCCCUCAGCUACAUGUCCAGGCUGGAAUUCAUACUUUUAAAUCACACAAUUCAGUCUGGUUUAGAAUAUGAGCAGUGUUUUUCGAACCAUCCUCAUAACUGGGCUUGGUGACACAUACCUGUAAUUCCAGCAUUCUGGACACUGAAGCAGGAGAGUCACCAUGAGUGCAAGGCCAGCUUUGGCUAUAUAGUGAGACCUUGUCUCCAAAAAAAAAAAAGAAAAGAAAAGAAAGGAAAAUCACCUUAUUAGCAAUCACUCCUUAUUCUUUUUCCACUCCCUAAGAAUCAUAACAGCACUUUCUGACUUUCUGUCUGUAUGGGCCAACCUAUUCUAAACAUUUCAUAUGAAGGGACUCAGAUAACAUGUGAUCUUGGGGUUUGCAGUUUUCGCUUAGGGCAUGUGUUCAUAAUAGUACAUUUGUGUUGUAGCAUAAAUCAUUUAUUUUUAUGGCUGAAUGAUACUGUAUUACCCAAAUACAACAAACUAUUUACCCUUUUAUCAGUUCAUGAAUCACUUAGGUGUUUCUCCUUUUUUGGUACUGGGGAUCGAACUUAGGUCCUUGUGCUGCCAAGGCAGGCAGCAGAACCACUGAGCUAAAUCCCUGGCCCCUGUUUCUACUUUUUGAUAAUUAUGAAUAGGGCUUCUCUGAAAGUUCAUGUACAUGUUUUUGCCUGGAUGUAAUUUUUCUUUUCAUUUGGGGAUAUAGUUAGGUUAUGAAUUAUAGUUUUUCUGGUAACUUAAUGAUUAUAUUUUUAGUUUUGCCAAACUCUAUUUUAAAGUAGAUGUACUAUUUUACAAUUCUUUUUUUUUUUUUUU
Molecule: long non-coding RNA, 12717 nt
Filed under: Heterocephalus glaber (naked mole-rat)
Lineage: Eukaryota; Metazoa; Chordata; Mammalia; Rodentia; Bathyergidae
Description: lncRNA (ENSHGLG00000042134.1)
Source: RNAcentral